This 253-nucleotide ribosomal RNA is filed under the name uncultured bacterium. Its description in RNAcentral is "partial 16S ribosomal RNA". It matches the Rfam family "Bacterial small subunit ribosomal RNA", at positions 524 to 776 of the family's 1533-position model. The record is from RNAcentral.
UACGUAGGGUGCAAGCGUUAUCCGGAGUUAUUGGGCGUAAAGAGCUCGUAGGCGGUUUGUCGCGUCUGCUGUGAAAACCGGAGGCUCAACCUCCGGCCUGCAGUGGGUACGGGCAGACUAGAGUGCGGUAGGGGAGAUUGGAAUUCCUGGUGUAGCGGUGGAAUGCGCAGAUAUCAGGAGGAACACCGAUGGCGAAGGCAGAUCUCUGGGCCGUAACUGACGCUGAGGAGCGAAAGCGUGGGGAGCGAACAGG